Molecule: long non-coding RNA, 2028 nt
Organism: Pezoporus occidentalis (night parrot)
Lineage: Eukaryota; Metazoa; Chordata; Aves; Psittaciformes; Psittacidae
Exons: 2
Source: RefSeq, a predicted model, not a curated record
UUUGAAGGCUGUUUUGCCACAAGAUGGCGAUCUUCAGAUCAAUGUCAAAGCCGCCCAAGGCGACGGGAGCAGCCCUGCAAAAAAAAAUCUUGGCCUUUGUUCAUUUUGCAUCCCUGGAGCCGCACGGAUAAUUAUUGCACUUACCGGGCUCCGCGUUACAAAAAGCCGCUCGGGAUGCCGGGGGAGGGGAGGGAGCUGACGGGGCUUCUCGGUGGAGUUAAAGCCUCUGAGCUUUGGAUUGGAACAUGGGCGGAGGGAAUUGUUGCAAGUGUAGUUAAAAGCACAUGCUCAGUCGGUAGAGAGCUGUUUUGAAAUGCCUUUCGGAACCGAUCGAUUUCAUCAAAGAUGCUGCAUUAAAAGCUCGGGAAUGUUUCUCUCUAACCUCCCCUUAGCAAUGCCAAGAAGUGAGAAGCAACUCCUCGGAAAAUAGCAGGAUGAGUUGAGGGUCCCUUUGCAACAUUUCAUUUUACGCCAGUCAAGUUAAACUCAGCAUAUUUGAUCAAAUAUUUAUUUUUCCCCUCGUUGUUUCCCUGCCCCAUUCAAUACUCGGCUGAAUAAAUCAAAGGGACCCUAGCAGCAGUUAAAGCGCCCUCUGGUUACGGAUUUUUUACUGACGGCCGCAGUCACAGGAUAAUAUUUAAAAAAAACAAACUUGUUUCUUACAAUAACUGUUUAUUAUUUCACAUGAUUUGGGUUUGCAUAUUUUGGAGGGAAGUGGCGAAGCCAACUCAGUGUCUACACUGUGUUUAAUUAAUCGUGUACUCAACUUCAGCUCACAUACCACAUUAAAACCCCCGGGAGGCUUUUUCAUAAACUCUUUGGGUUUCUGUUUUGUUGUCUUCUUCUUUUUUUUCUUUUUUGUCACAAUCUUUUAAUUAAAUGCUCUGAAAUCGAAACUUCAGGCCAAAGUGUGUGUCUGAGAGCCAAGUUGUACCGCAACCAAAAAAGACAUUUGUGUAUGCAUCCAGAUCUUUUUUAAAGGAAAGACAGCUACAAAAAGGGGAGAAGGGAUACAGUUUCAAAUGCCUAAUACAGCUGUGCGACCCAUCUCUUACAGCAGAAGGGGUACACUUAAAAGACGAGCUGGGGUAUGUACGAUUUCCCUGACACAUGUUAUAACCCGAUACUGCUGUUGCUUCUGCCGGCGUUCGGGGCUCUCUGGACAAUAGAAAGCCCCGUUGUUCUCGCCGGUGCCGAGGAAAGGCGAGGAGAUGAAGUCCUAAUGAGUUGGUUGGGUGUAUUUUGUCCUGCCACACACUAGAGUUUAGAGCUCGUCGGACUUACUUGCAAAAUAUGCUCCUAAUCCAAAUGAGUAAAACGAUACACAUAUACUAUAAAACAUGGUUAGGAGAACAAGCCUCCGGAUGGCUGGAAUAAAAUUAAAUCUCAGCCUAAGUUUUAACAGGAUAAUCCGCCAAAACAAGCCAACCUCACCACCACAACCAGCAUGAAAGAAUUUAUAGUAAAGAUAAAAUUAGUGGGGCCGUCAUUUGUCACCUAACUUGGCACAGACACAGUUCCUAAACCUCCUGUUUGAAAUCCGCCUUCUUUGGAGCAAUUCCAGGAAAAAAAAAAAACAACAAAACCAACAAAAAACCCACCACACAAAAGGAGGAAUCUGGCACACACGCACGUUCUUGACAACUGACAGUUCCAGUAUUAAAUAACUAUACUCUGAUUGCAUUAAUUUUUGGAGCUGUAUAAAACGUAAUUCGCGGCUGUAUUCUCAGAUAGGCGGUUCAUGCACUCCUGCAACAGCCUGCAAGGCCAUUUAUGUUUUCACGAAUUGCCGUUUGCCCGUGUCUACAAAUAAAAGCAUAUUUUAAUUAGCUGGCAAAACGCGUCUAUGGAUUAACAGUGCUGAUCUUUUGGGUUAUACAAGCCAAUAAUAAUAAGAUAAAUCACAGUUUAACAUGAUCCAUUUUGCGAUUUCCAGUCAGAGUUUGCUCUGGCUGAGCUGUCGGGUUUUAUUUAUUCCCUUUUUGUUUUUAAUUUUAGUCCCACCAAUAAAACGGCUUAACGACGCUA